Molecule: ribosomal RNA, 402 nt
Filed under: uncultured bacterium
Lineage: Bacteria
Description: bacterial SSU rRNA
Rfam family: Bacterial small subunit ribosomal RNA
Source: RNAcentral
UAGGGAAUAUUGGACAAUGGGUGCGAGCCUGAUCCAGCCAUGCCGCGUGCAGGAAGAAGGCGUUAUGCGUUGUAAACUGCUUUUGCCAGGGGAUAAAAUAACUGUGCGCAGUUGAUUGAAGGUACCUGGUGAAUAAGCCACGGCUAACUACGUGCCAGCAGCCGCGGUAAUACGUAGGUGGCAAGCGUUGUCCGGAUUUAUUGGGUUUAAAGGGUGCGUAGGCGGCCCUGUAAGUCAGUGGUGAAAUAUCUCAGCUUAACUGAGAGGGUGCCAUUGAUACGUGCGGGGCUUGAGUACAGAUGAGGUAGGCGGAAUUGACGGUGUAGCGGUGAAAUGCAUAGAUAUCGUCAAGAACACCGAUAGCGAAGGCAGCUUACCAAGCUGUAACUGACGCUGAGGCAC